GACGAACGCUGGCGGUGUGCUUAACACAUGCAAGUGGUGCGACGAACCAGAGCUUGCUCUGGGGCAAAGCCGCGAACGGGUGAGUAACACGUGGGUAAUCUACCCCGAUGACCGGGACAACCCGAGGAAACUCGGGCUAAUACCGGAUGUGGUGCGGAGACAUAAGUCUCUUCACUAAAGGUAGCUUCGGCUUCCGCAUUGGGAGGGGCCCGCGGCCCAUUAGCUUGUUGGUGGGGUCAAGGCCUACCAAGGCAACGAUGGGUAGCUGGUCUGAGAGGACGAUCAGCCACACUGGGACUGAGACACGGCCCAGACUCCUACGGGAGGCAGCAGUGGGGAAUCUUGCGCAAUGCGCGAAAGCGUGACGCAGCAACACCGCGUGAGGGAAGAAGGCCUUAGGGUUGUAAACCUCUUUCAGAUGGGACGAAGGUUCUCCGGUGAAUAGCCGAGAGGAUUGACGGUACCGUCGGAAGAAGCUCCGGCUAACUACGUG
Molecule: ribosomal RNA, 493 nt
Filed under: uncultured bacterium
Lineage: Bacteria
Description: partial 16S ribosomal RNA
Rfam family: Bacterial small subunit ribosomal RNA
Source: RNAcentral